UAAACAUAGAAGUAAAUUUUUUACAAUUAGUUUCGACCUAAAUUUAAGGUUAUUCCUCAUGUUUA
This 65-nucleotide transfer RNA is filed under the name Mileewa ponta. Its description in RNAcentral is "tRNA-Arg". The record is from RNAcentral. Lineage: Eukaryota; Metazoa; Arthropoda; Insecta; Hemiptera; Cicadellidae.